RNAcentral lists this long non-coding RNA (540 nucleotides) under Pan troglodytes (chimpanzee). RNAcentral describes it as "long non-coding RNA NONPTRT004353". Lineage: Eukaryota; Metazoa; Chordata; Mammalia; Primates; Hominidae. The record is from RNAcentral.
AGUAAUGUUAUCUGUUUCUUUUGUUUAGUAGCAACUUAGAGGAGUUAUUAAGCUUGGGGUUGCCUCAUGCUCUGGUCUGAUUGAGUCCCUCAGAAUUUGUAUGUUGAAACUUAGUGCCCAAUGUGAUUGUAUUUAGAGGUGGGGGCUUUAGGAGAUGAUUACAUCAUGAGGUUAGAACUCUCAGGCAUAGGAUUUGUGCCCUGAUAAAAGGGCUUGAGGGAAUGAGUUUGGUCUUUUCUGCUCUUUUACAAUGUAAGGAUACAGCACUUGUCCUCCCAAGAAAAAGCAGCAUUUAUGGUUCCAUCUUGAAUAAAAAGACUGGAGCUUCACCAAACACCAAACCUGUUGGCCCCUUGAUCUUGGACUGCGCAGCCUGAAGACCUGUAUAAGAGUCCAUUCAUGAUUUGGCUCUCUUGUUGUUGGUAUAUAGGAAUGUUUGUGACUUUUGCACAUUGAUUUUGUAUCCUGAGACUUUGCUGACGUUGCUUAUCAGCUUAAGAAGAUUUUGGGCUGAAACGAUCGGGUUUUCUACAUACAGGA